GGGAAUAUUGGACAAUGGGGGGAACCCUGAUCCAGCCAUGCCGCGUGUGUGAAGAAGGCCUUAUGGUUGUAAAGCACUUUAAGCGAGGAGGAGGCUCUUCUAGUUAAUACCUAGGAUGAGUGGACGUUACUCGCAGAAUAAGCACCGGCUAACUCUGUGCCAGCAGCCGCGGUAAUACAGAGGGUGCGAGCGUUAAUCGGAUUUACUGGGCGUAAAGCGUGCGUAGGCGGCUUUUUAAGUCGGAUGUGAAAUCCCCGAGCUUAACUUGGGAAUUGCAUUCGAUACUGGGAAGCUAGAGUAUGGGAGAGGAUGGUAGAAUUCCAGGUGUAGCGGUGAAAUGCGUAGAGAUCUGGAGGAAUACCGAUGGCGAAGGCAGCCAUCUGGCCUAAUACUGACGCUGAGGUACGAAAGCAUGGGGAGCAAACAG
This 427-nucleotide ribosomal RNA is filed under the name uncultured bacterium. Its description in RNAcentral is "bacterial SSU rRNA". It matches the Rfam family "Bacterial small subunit ribosomal RNA", at positions 357 to 775 of the family's 1533-position model. The record is from RNAcentral.